RNAcentral lists this RNase P RNA (458 nucleotides) under Candidatus Carbonibacillus altaicus. RNAcentral's name for it is "RNase P RNA component class B". It matches the Rfam family "Bacterial RNase P class B". Rfam says of the family: Ribonuclease P (RNase P) is a ubiquitous endoribonuclease, found in archaea, bacteria and eukarya as well as chloroplasts and mitochondria. The record is from RNAcentral. Lineage: Bacteria; Bacillati; Bacillota; Bacilli; Thermicanales; Thermicanaceae.
GAACACGCGUAGUCGCUGCAGGCCUGAGCGCUUGCCACGAUCUUUCCGAUCUGUGCAUGAAGGUAGCUGGUCUGUAGAGGAAAGUCCAGACUCGCCCGGGCUGCGAUGCCCGGAGUGUUUGUGCCCGAUGCAAAUCGGGGCAGUGCGACGCCCUCGGUGCCCGUGUUCAUGCGCUUUAACACAGGGAGACGAUGGAUGAUCGUGCUGACGGCGGUGAAAGGGGCUCUCUGAGUUCCGAGUAGCCUGAAAGUGCCACAGAGACGAGCCUUUCGGCGACGAAAGGGUGGAACGCGGUAAACCCCACAAGCGAGAAACCCAAAUAAUGGUAGGGGAGCCCUCCAAUGAGAAAUGAAUCGGCGGAGGGAUCGGGAGAAGUCCUGAUAGAUAGAUGACUACGACUUCUGUACGAGGGGUGGCGCCCGUUUGUAGUACGGAAGUACAGAAACUGGCUUACAGUG